GCAUAUCUUUUAUUGUGGUGGAAAAAGAAACCCAACAGAGAUUGCCCCUAGUAACGGCGAGUGAAGCGGCAACAGCUCAAAUUUGAAAUCUGGCUCUCGGGCCCGAGUUGUAAUUUGUAGAGGAUACUUUUGAUGCGGUGCCUUCCGAGUUCCCUGGAACGGGACGCCAUAGAGGGUGAGAGCCCCGUCUGGUUGGAUGCCAAAUCUCUGUAAAGUUCCUUCAACGAGUCGAGUAGUUUGGGAAUGCUGCUCUAAAUGGGAGGUAUAUGUCUUCUAAAGCUAAAUACCGGCCAGAGACCGAUAGCGCACAAGUAGAGUGAUCGAAAGAUGAAAAGCACUUUGAAAAGAGAGUUAAAAAGUACGUGAAAUUGUUGAAAGGGAAGCGUUUAUGACCAGACUUGGGCUUGGUUAAUCAUCUGGGGUUCUCCCCAGUGCACUUUUCCAGUCCAGGCCAGCAUCAGUUUUCCCCGGGGGAUAAAGGCGGCGGGAAUGUGGCUCUCUUCGGGGAGUGUUAUAGCCCACCGUGUAAUACCCUGGGGGGGACUGAGGUUCGCGCAUCUGCAAGGAUGCUGGCGUAAUGGUCAUCAACGACCCGUCUUGAAACACGGACCAAGGAGUCGUCUUCGUAUGCGAGUGUUCGGGUGUCAAACCCCUACGCGUAAUGAAAGUGAACGCAGGUGAGAGCUUCGGCGCAUCAUCGACCGAUCCUGAUGUUCUCGGAUGGAUUUGAGUAAGAGCAUACGGGGCCGGACCCGAAAGAAGGUGAACUAUGCCUGUAUAGGGUGAAGCCAGAGGAAACUCUGGUGGAGGCUCGCAGCGGUUCUGACGUGCAAAUCGAUCGUCAAAUAUGGGCAUGGGGGCGAAAGACUAAAUCGAAACCUUUCUAGGUAGCUGGGUUUCCCGCCGAAG
RNAcentral lists this ribosomal RNA (909 nucleotides) under Fusarium oxysporum f. sp. lycopersici. RNAcentral's name for it is "LSU rRNA". It matches the Rfam family "Eukaryotic large subunit ribosomal RNA", at positions 38 to 966 of the family's 3401-position model. The record is from RNAcentral. Lineage: Eukaryota; Fungi; Ascomycota; Sordariomycetes; Hypocreales; Nectriaceae.